UCUACUGUCUGCUGACUGAAAGUCUGUUCAACUUUCUCCUUUGAGCAGGCAGGCAGUUGGGUUGUCAGACAGUCUGCGGCUUUCUUGCUGGGAUGGCAGGGUCCAGCUCUAUCGGCAUCUCUUGGAUGGCCGAUUUAGCCAUCAGAGCCUGCCUCAAAUAGGACUGAUUUCCAUCGGACUCUUUCUCAUAACUUUCAUCGUUACACCGAUUGAGACCGGGGCCACUCUACAGCCUCGCGCUCCAAACUUUCAAUAUUUUGAGAGACCGAAGUACCGGUAUCCUUACUACGAUGAGAACGGAAGAGGCAAGCUGCUAUACGGCUAUGGUGGACCUGACCUCUACCAAUACAAAUCAUAUUCACCUCUAGAAGGAAUCCAUUGACAUCAUCAUGGAUCAUCAUCAUCAUCAUGAUCACAUCGCUUGCAUCACUGCCAGAAUGUAUUAAAUCAUUUACUUUAAGCAUAAUUUUAAUUUAGUUUUACGAAAAUACCUUGAGACAAGGCCAUGGGUGGUUUCAUGUUACCAAUGAGAAUGGCAAAGCUUGUAUACGAGGCUUAUCAAUUUUGCUGCGCUGAAAACCUCUAGUAUUAGUUGUUCAAGCUCAGCAUUUUGAAGUAAAGCUUUCAUAAAUGUACAAGUUCUGUCUCUAAAUAGUUGUAAGAUUAUCACAAUAAUAUUAUCAAUGUCAUCAUUCACUUAAAAUCAUCAUACUGUAAGUGCAUCACUACUAACACUCCUUAGUUUCAGUUCAUUCAAUGUAUUACUACUACAACAACACUAUGACUGCCCCAUGUCAAAGCUUGUUUCAUUAGUAUUACUUUGCAUUCUUCAAUUGAUUAAUCUUCCAACCAUUAUUAGCCAUAUCUAAAUUCAAAUCAUUAAUGUUUAUUGUAUUACUAUUCUAGUCAAUUAAUUUUUUUUUUUUUACUUUUACUACUGUAAAGUAGCUGAAA
This is an RNA transcript of Nilaparvata lugens (brown planthopper), 954 nucleotides long. RefSeq lists it as uncharacterized. NCBI's taxonomy places the organism in Eukaryota, Metazoa, Arthropoda, Insecta, Hemiptera, Delphacidae. The transcript is spliced from 4 exons. The record is from RefSeq and is a predicted model, not a curated record.